AUUGAACGCUGGCGGCAUGCCUUACACAUGCAAGUCGAACGGCAGCACGGGAGCAGUCCUGGUGGCGAGUGGCGAACGGGUGAGUAAUAUAUCGGAACGUGCCCAGUCGUGGGGGAUAACGCAGCGAAAGCUGUGCUAAUACCGCAUACGAUCUACGGAUGAAAGCGGGGGAUCGCAAGACCUCGCGCGAUUGGAGCGGCCGAUAUCAGAUUAGCUAGUUGGUGGGGUAAAGGCCCACCAAGGCGACGAUCUGUAGCUGGUCUGAGAGGACGACCAGCCACACUGGAACUGAGACACGGUCCAGACUCCUACGGGAGGCAGCAGUGGGGAAUUUUGGACAAUGGGCGAAAGCCUGAUCCAGCAAUGCCGCGUGCAGGACGAAGGCCUUCGGGUUGUAAACUGCUUUUGUACGGAACGAAACGGUCUCUUCUAAUAAAGGGGGCUAAUGACGGUACCGUAAGAAUAAGCACCGGCUAACUACGUGCCAGCAGCCGCGGUAA
This 500-nucleotide ribosomal RNA is filed under the name uncultured bacterium. RNAcentral describes it as "partial 16S ribosomal RNA". It matches the Rfam family "Bacterial small subunit ribosomal RNA", at positions 30 to 523 of the family's 1533-position model. The record is from RNAcentral.